Molecule: long non-coding RNA, 1273 nt
Organism: Spea bombifrons (plains spadefoot toad)
Lineage: Eukaryota; Metazoa; Chordata; Amphibia; Anura; Pelobatidae
Exons: 3
Source: RefSeq, a predicted model, not a curated record
UAAUAACAGUUUCUGUGAUUAUUGUGGUCGUUGGCAUUGGAGUAUUUGUGUGGUAUAAGAAACGCAGCGGUGUAUAUUAUGCUCAUCACCAAGAUUGCAAAUCACCAGAGUAUGAGAAUACUCUAGAACAAACACUGUGAAUGAAGGAAAACAAGGCCUGACCCCUUCAAUGCUCAUUAUAAGUCAUGCGAAGCUUAGUUGCAACAGAACUGAAGAUAUUUAUUCAUUUGAUUCAUAAUUUUUUUUUUGUCCCUCUGUACACUUAAAAGCUUUCUAAAAUCUACCAAGGUAACUGUCGUCCAAUAUACUGCAAACUUUCAACAUUCCUUUAGUACUUGGAAAAGCCAGAGAGACCCAGUAGGAGGUUAUAGGGUCUUGUGUGGCUCUCAUGUGCAUUUUGGUACCUCUCCUCACCUGUGAAUCUCAGCUUUAUCAUAUGACAACAUUGACAUAAAAAAAUCUUUCCACGCACGAAUCUCCAAGGUCUGCCUUCUAAUGGAGCAGCGUGCUAAAUGAAGAAAAGUGUCCAGCUAACUCCUUAACACAAGUCUUCAUAAAGUCUUCACAGCAAGCUUGGUUGUGAAUACUGGCUGACUGGAUUGACAUUAAACCACAAAAACACUGCUCUGGAGCUUGCUUUAGUUAUUGCUUGUUACUGAAGUAAAUCACAAUUAUUUUAAACAUUUUAUUUAAAAAAAAAAAAAAAAGAAUUUUACUGUAAGCCAUCUUGAAACUGGCAUUUUUUGAUCAUCUCGGAAGGAUUCCUCUGAAAUUGCGUUCACGCAGUUGCUGCUCUAGUUACUUGCAUUUUGUGUACUCGGACAUUACGUGCUAAAGGCUCCAGGACAAAAUGAACAAGGUGCUUGACAUUACCCUCUCCUUGUCUAUGUAAAGGAUGGACGUGGUCGGUACACAUGUAUAUUUCCCCUUGUGGCUGGCUUGUGGAAGUCUCCAUCAAACAAUAUUAUGUGUGCUGUAGGGAAGGAAAACUCAUGACACCACCUACAGUGAUAUUAGCGAAAGGAAGGCCUUAGCACCUACAGGUCAGGGAUUCUCUUUUUUCAGGUAGAGAUGUAAAUAGCGUCCACUCAGAAGACCACCGGGCACUGCUGCCGGAGCCCUGGCACGUAGCACUACCGUAUGAACUGAGCAUGCACAAGCUGCCAUCAACCUUAAAGGGCCAUGCAGAGUGCAAGGAGGCCGGGGAAUGGCUUAAUUUGAUUGUAUUAAAACACAUUGGAAAUAAUUGUUCUUUUAAAUAAUUGUAGGAUUA